This is a long non-coding RNA of Musa acuminata AAA Group (dessert banana), 1185 nucleotides long. RefSeq lists it as uncharacterized. Lineage: Eukaryota; Viridiplantae; Streptophyta; Magnoliopsida; Zingiberales; Musaceae. The record is from RefSeq and is a predicted model, not a curated record. The transcript has 3 exons.
AUUUAGCUAAGUUUUUAAGUUGAAACAUGUCUUGAUAUCUUGGUUAAAUAAGUCAUUAGUGAGAAAGUAAGUGUGUAGCGAGAUCUUUUGAACAGAUAGAUGUAUUGUGUACUUCGAAGGUGUCCAAAUCACAGCUACAGAGAUUCUUGAGUUGUUCUUGAUCCGAUAAAUGAAAACUUUAUCUGGAAUGGUGUCUAGAUGCUUGUAUUAAUAUCGAAACUGUGGGGAAAAGUUUUAUGAUAUCUGUUGGAAUUCUUCUUUGCUGAGAGUCUCAGAAACAAGUAGAUGAAACCAGAAUUCAUGUCUUUCUCUCAUGGAGGUGGGAGACAAAUUGCUCUAUGGAAUCAUUAUGAGUUGAUUCCACUGAGACUGAUAAUAAGAGAACUAAAUGGAAUGACAAAAGUGAUAAGUAUAUGAGAUUUUGAGGAAAUCUCUUUAUUCUGUUGAGCGAAAUCCUCGUUGAGGAAAAUUCUCCCUUUAUAAAAGGAAGAGGAUAUAUUAAUAACAAUCAACUACUUCUAUAACUUGUUUAUCUAUUUAUUUUCUAACAUGGUAUCAGAGCAGUUCCUCCUUGGCGACAGCAUCGUGUGUUAGCCAAGCGACCACAGUAACACGUUGCAGAAAUCUCAUCUACUUAUCAAAAAGAACCAUUGAAGGUUCAUGGAUGCAUCUGACAUUGACCUCGGAAGCCUAGAGGUGGUGUGCAGGCUCAGCCACUUGGAGAUGCUUCAUGUAUCCAUCUGGCCUCAUUGCAGUCCAAUUGAUCAUCCUUUGCCACAGUAUUGAAGGCACUCGCAGGACCACCCACUUUGAAGAGGGGACCUGACUACCCAUUGUGUGUGAUCAUUAUUUCAAAGAAUGUGCAUCUCCUACAUGCAAAUGAAAGGGUAUGAAACAUGGAAAGCUGAGAAAAGCAGAAAGAGUAGUAGUGCAGAACAAGAGGUCAUCAGUGCAGAGCCUGAAAAAUCUAUGCAACUUCAUAUUCUUUCGUGUCUUUAGAAUGACAUUCAUUCCAUGAAAGAGAUAUGGUUGUCAUGGUUUCCCUUCUACACUGGAAAAUGUGAGAUUUAUCAUCUCUAUGAUGCUGGAAUACUCCCUUCCAUGACAGAGAAUUGUGUGCUGCAUGUUUCCCAUGUAUUUGUCCUCCUUGAAAUGAACUCCAUCAUUGCAAUCAUUUGCCAUGGU